RNAcentral lists this ribosomal RNA (468 nucleotides) under uncultured bacterium. RNAcentral describes it as "partial 16S ribosomal RNA". It matches the Rfam family "Bacterial small subunit ribosomal RNA", at positions 28 to 507 of the family's 1533-position model. The record is from RNAcentral.
GACGAACGCUGGCGGUGUGCUUAACAUAUGCAAGUCGAACGGAAAGGCCCUGCUUUUGUGGGGUGCUCGAGUGGCGAACGGGUGAGUAACACGUGAGUAACCUGCCCUUGACUUUGGGAUAACUUCAGGAAACUGGGGCUAAUACCGGAUAGGAGCUCCUGCUGCAUGGUGGGGGUUGGAAAGUUUCGGCGGUUGGGGAUGGACUCGCGGCUUAUCAGCUUGUUGGUGGGGUAGUGGCUUACCAAGGCUUUGACGGGUAGCCGGCCUGAGAGGGUGACCGGCCACAUUGGGACUGAGAUACGGCCCAGACUCCUACGGGAGGCAGCAGUAGGGAAUAUUGCACAAUGGGCGGAAGCCUGAUGCAGCAACGCCGCGUGCGGGAUGACGGCCUUCGGGUUGUAAACCGCUUUCGCCUGUGACGAAGCGUGAGUGACGGUAAUGGGUAAAGAAGCACCGGCUAACUACGUG